AAAAAAAAAAGAAUAAGCGAAGUCGAAUGGCGGUCGUGACUCACUUACACUGAGAAGCGUCCUAACCUUAGACUUAGCAAGAAAAAAGAAAGAAAAAAAAAUAGAAAAAAAAUAGGAAAGGCAUAGGAAUUCUUUGGUGACCCUAAAUUGUAGUUGACUCUUUAGUAAAGAAGUGUUUAAGCUUGAUUCUGAUUAACGGCUCAUAGUGAGGACUCUGUUGAAGUUUGAUAGUCUUUGUUUUGUUUCACUAGAGAGCAUGAUAGCACACACGAUGCACUUCACACUUGUAGUGGAAGAGAACAUGGCUAAUAUGUGAAAGAGAUUAAUGCUGAGAAUGUUGCAUAUUCUGAGGAUUCCAUGUUAACACGGAUGACACUUCAUGAUUCGAGUAGACGUAGGCAUAUAGUUGCAUUCAUGCAUUGCAUUAGUAGUUUGUGUGUGUGUCUAUGCUUGAGGACAAGCAUCGGUUUAAGUUUGGGGGUGUGAUAAGUGGAUUUUGUAUCCACUUGGAAUGCCUUCGUUUCGACUUAAAUUGAUGGUUUGGCCUCAAGUAUGUGGUGUUUUUGAUGUGUUCUUGUGGUGUUGUGUAGGUUUCCUAGAAGGAGGAUGAAGGGUGGAUUCAAGGCUAAAAGGUGGAAGAAACAGCGUAGGGAUCGAGCGAGCAAGGAAGGAGAAAAGGGAAAGGAGGUUCCAAAAGCAUUCGGGGCUGCCCAAAUGGGGUCUCCACCCCAUUUACGGGGUCUCCACCUCGUUAUGAAGAAGAAAAAUCUGCCAAGAUGAGGUUUCCACCCCACUGAUGAGGUCUCCACCCCACUUCAGCAGAAUAGGGGCUGCCAUGACAGGGUCUCCACCCCACUGACGGGGUCUCCACCCCAUUCUGAUGGGAGAAA
This 890-nucleotide long non-coding RNA is filed under the name Daucus carota (carrot). RNAcentral's name for it is "long non-coding RNA (DCAR_LNC000284)". The record is from RNAcentral. Lineage: Eukaryota; Viridiplantae; Streptophyta; Magnoliopsida; Apiales; Apiaceae.